AGUCCCGUGGUGUAGCUGGCCAAUCAUAUGGGCCUUUGGACGCUUACUGUUCAACAGGGGCGAGAGACAGCCCAUGACGGCGGUUCGAAUCCGCCCGGGACUA
RNAcentral lists this transfer RNA (103 nucleotides) under Halopenitus malekzadehii. RNAcentral's name for it is "tRNA_Pseudo_Pseudo". It matches the Rfam family "tRNA". Rfam says of the family: Transfer RNA (tRNA) molecules are approximately 80 nucleotides in length. Their secondary structure includes four short double-helical elements and three loops (D, anti-codon, and T loops). The record is from RNAcentral. Lineage: Archaea; Methanobacteriati; Methanobacteriota; Halobacteria; Halobacteriales; Haloferacaceae.